AGUAUAAUGAAAUUGAAAACAAAUACUUCUCUUCCCCUUGAUGAAAAUAAGAAACAGGAACGUCAUGAUGUGACUGAACGAAUCUUAAACCAAGGGGUGCAAGGAGCUGUCCUGUAGUAGAUGAAGCUGAGCGACUGUCAGGCAGCCAAAAAGCAUAGAAUAUCCGGGACCUCCAGAGGGCUAAUCCGGUGUAAAAGUGGCAGACAGGAGGGGCAGUCAGGAUGCUGUGACCCUCGCCAGGAAAACCGGAUUGAAUAUACUGCAGAUGGAUGGAAUAAAAC
This 281-nucleotide long non-coding RNA is filed under the name Lepisosteus oculatus (spotted gar). RNAcentral's name for it is "lncRNA (ENSLOCG00000022480.1)". The record is from RNAcentral. Lineage: Eukaryota; Metazoa; Chordata; Actinopteri; Semionotiformes; Lepisosteidae.